This 77-nucleotide transfer RNA is filed under the name Kandleria vitulina. RNAcentral describes it as "tRNA-Met". It matches the Rfam family "tRNA". From Rfam's summary of the family: Transfer RNA (tRNA) molecules are approximately 80 nucleotides in length. Their secondary structure includes four short double-helical elements and three loops (D, anti-codon, and T loops). Further hydrogen bonds mediate the characteristic L-shaped molecular structure. tRNAs have two regions of fundamental functional importance: the anti-codon, which is responsible for specific mRNA codon recognition, and the 3' end, to which the tRNAs corresponding amino acid is attached (by aminoacyl-tRNA synthetases). tRNAs cope with the degeneracy of the genetic code in two manners: having more than one tRNA (with a specific anti-codon) for a particular amino acid; and 'wobble' base-pairing, i.e. permitting non-standard base-pairing at the 3rd anti-codon position. The record is from RNAcentral. Lineage: Bacteria; Bacillati; Bacillota; Erysipelotrichia; Erysipelotrichales; Coprobacillaceae.
GGCGGGAUAGCUCAGUUGGCUAGAGCAUUCGGUUCAUACCCGGAGUGUCGAGGGUUCAAGUCCCCCUCCCGCUACCA